CCGAAAUCAGUGGGCUGGAAUUGUUUCUUCACUUUGGGUGACUCCACUGUUACUCAAGGAAUGAACUGAUUGGCACCAAGCAAGAAGAACAGCACAUCUCUUUGGACUCAUUCCCUUAUUUAUAAGCCAUAACCUUAGGGACAAUAAGCUAGAGACCCUGCCAGCAUCCUUGAGCCAGGAUCUCAUCUGUUGUCACAGUAGCCAUGUUUCCCUGGCAUCCGAGAGCCCAAGGAUGCAAAUAAGGCCUGGGCCAAACUAAGCUCUGACAAUUAAUGUUAUUCCAAAGAGGCAGCAGCGAGGGUAGGAAGUUCUGGUCCCCUCAUCUUACUUCAAGUUUCACAGCCAAGAGUGAUGAUAGCUUUAGUCAGUAAGUACAGUCAAGGAGCCUAUGAGACAGAACUUGUCACAAAGACAGCUGAUGUUUCGCAUGGACCUUAACAGAGUAACUGGUGUCUCUUCAGGAAUGGGGCACAAUCCAGAGGUUACUAACCACGGAACAUUUACUGGAUUUGGUACUUGGCGAAAGAAACUGACAAAUUAAGAAAUGAGAGAGAGAAUAAAUGCACUGUGCAUGCUGAAACCCCAAGAAGACUUUUUUUCUCCUACUUUUUAUGGACCUGAGG
This 623-nucleotide long non-coding RNA is filed under the name Homo sapiens (human). RNAcentral describes it as "non-protein coding lnc-SNX18-1:1". The record is from RNAcentral. Lineage: Eukaryota; Metazoa; Chordata; Mammalia; Primates; Hominidae.